RNAcentral lists this long non-coding RNA (1197 nucleotides) under Oncorhynchus mykiss (rainbow trout). Its description in RNAcentral is "lncRNA (ENSOMYG00000067808.1)". The record is from RNAcentral. Lineage: Eukaryota; Metazoa; Chordata; Actinopteri; Salmoniformes; Salmonidae.
AUGGAUUUUGACAACAACAAAAAAUGUACAUACCUGUGCUAUGAACCCAUGACCAAGCAACGUUCCAGAGACGACAGAAAGGUACGUACAUCGGGCCAAAAUUAUUCUUGUUCAUUAUUGUUCACAUACAACUGUCAUUACAUGAAUAUUUGCAUUUUAGAAUUGUUUGGUUUUAAACUGUACUGUGUAAAUUAAAACAAAACAAAUAUAUAGAGGACAUAGAUUGAUUUACUUUAAUUAACUGCCAAUGCCACGUAAAACAAAAUGUGAAUGACGAACUAUCAUCUCAUCUCAUAAUGGUCAUAAUUGAAAACGACGGUCUGCUGUAUUUAUAUUUAUAUUUUUUUUUUUUCCACCCUGAGAGGAAAUGAACUACGCCUAUACUCAUGUAUUCAUGCUAAUAACAAAAUGUCGAAAUAGGCGUAUAUAUAUUGCAGUUAUUUCGCUUAGACCACAAGUCGCUUAGACCACAUGUCGCUUAGACCACACAGCUUAUAGUAAGCUACAUUACAAAUAGCACCAUAUUCCUUUUAUAGUUCACCACUUCUGACCAAAAGUAGUGCACUAUAUAGGGAAUAGGGUGCUAUAAGGCUCUGGUCUAAAGUAGUGCACUAUAUAGGGAAUAGGGUGCUAUAAGGCUCUGGUCUAAAGUAGUGCACUAUAUAGGGAAUAGGGUGCCAUAAGGCUCUGGUCUAAAGUAGUGCACUAUAUAUAGGGAAUAGGGUUCCAUAGGGCUCUGGUCAAAGUAGUGCACUAUAUAGGGAAUAGGGUGCCAUAGGGCUCUGGUCUAAAGUAGUGCACUAUGUAGGGAAUAGGGUUCCAUAGGGCUCUGGUCAAAGUAGUGCACUAUAUAGGGAAUAGGGUUCCAUAGGGCUCUGGUCUAAAGUAGUGCACUAUAUAGGGAAUAGCACACCAUGUUAACUCAGUCUGUUUCUAAAGUAGUUCACAGUCAUCUGCUGUGGUCAAGGCUAUCUCUAGUUCUCUACACCACACCGCCGUGUACAACGCAGCCAAUAUCUGCUUUAUAGGCUAUAUAUAGUACCAUUUUUCUGAAUGCAUGAGAAGUUACCAAGGACAGGAUGCUCUCCGACUUUCAAGUUUCAAACUUUAUUUGCCACCCGCACAGGAUACAGCAGGUGUAAAACAGCAGAGUGAAAGUCUUACCUUGAGACCUCUUGUAAUAUGAUAUACUAAUAG